RNAcentral lists this ribosomal RNA (457 nucleotides) under uncultured bacterium. Its description in RNAcentral is "bacterial SSU rRNA". It matches the Rfam family "Bacterial small subunit ribosomal RNA", at positions 56 to 514 of the family's 1533-position model. The record is from RNAcentral.
UGCAGUCGACGGUAGAGUAGCAAUACUCGAGAGUGGCGAACGGGUGAGUAAUAUAUCGGAACGUGCCCAGUCGUGGGGGAUAACGUAGAGAAAUUUACGCUAAUACCGCAUACGAUCUAAGGAUGAAAGCGGGGGAUUCGCAAGAACCUCGCGCGAUUGGAGCGGCUGAUAUCAGAUUAGGUUGUUGGUGAGGUAAAAGCUCACCAAGCCGACGAUCUGUAGCUGGUUUGAGAGAACGACCAGCCACACUGGGACUGAGACACGGCCCAGACUCCUACGGGAGGCAGCAGUGGGGAAUUUUGGACAAUGGGCGAAAGCCUGAUCCAGCAAUGCCGCGUGCAGGAAGAAGGCCUUCGGGUUGUAAACUGCUUUUGUACGGAACGAAAAGGCUCUUUCUAAUAAAGGGGGCCCAUGACGGUACCGUAAGAAUAAGCACCGGCUAACUACGUGCCAGCAG